Molecule: ribosomal RNA, 503 nt
Filed under: uncultured Tissierellia bacterium
Lineage: Bacteria; Bacillati; Bacillota; Tissierellia
Description: bacterial SSU rRNA
Rfam family: Bacterial small subunit ribosomal RNA
Source: RNAcentral
GACGAACGCUGGCGGCGUGCCUAACACAUGCAAGUCGAGCGAGGUACUUAUAACAGAACGUUUUCGGAGGGAAGAUUUAAGUAGCCUAGCGGCGGAUGGGUGAGUAAUAUAUGAGAAACCUGCCUUUCACAAAGGAAUAGCCUCGGGAAACCGGGAUUAAUACCUUAUGAGACUUGUUCUUCGCAUGAAGAACAAGUUAAAGCGUAAAGCGGUGGAAGAUGGUCUCAUAUCCCAUUAGCUAGUUGGUGAGAUAGAAGCUUACCAAGGCAACGAUGGGUAACCGGCCUGAGAGGGUGAACGGUCACACUGGAACUGAGACACGGUCCAGACUCCUACGGGAGGCAGCAGUGGGGAAUCUUGCACAAUGGAGGGAACUCUGAUGCAGCGACGCCGCGUGAAUGAUUGAAGGUUUUCGGAUCGUAAAGUUCUGUCCUAAGGGAGAUAAUGACGGUACCUUAGGNGGAAGCCCCGGCUAACUACGUGCCAGCAGCAGCCGCAGUAAU